Molecule: ribosomal RNA, 555 nt
Filed under: Triticum aestivum (bread wheat)
Lineage: Eukaryota; Viridiplantae; Streptophyta; Magnoliopsida; Poales; Poaceae
Description: partial small subunit ribosomal RNA
Source: RNAcentral
AUGGCAGAAUGCUUCAAUAAGGUGCUCAAGGGUGUACGUGCAUUACCCGUGACGGCAAUAGUUCAAUACACAUUUGACAAGUUGAAUGAAUACUUUUUAAAGCACUCAAUGGAGACUGAUAAGCAGAUUGCUGGUGAGAACAAGGAUAAGCACAAGUACAAUUUCCCACCAAAGGUCGAAGAAUGGUUGGAAUUUCAAUCAUGAAAGGCAGACUCCGAAGAAGCUGUACUAUAUGACGACAACGAGUGGAAGUAUGAGGUGAAAGAGCCCGGAGGAACCACAAACGAUGGCCGCCAACACGGAGGCCGGGCUUUUAAGGUCUCCCUAACACGGUGUGAUUGCAGCUGCAUGAGGCCGUCUUUGCUUCAUCUCCCAUGCUCGCACUUGUUAAAUGCAUCCCGGGUUAGGAAUGUGGACGUCAAUCACCCUCUUACCGUGAGGGAGUCCGAGUUCUCAAUCAUGACGGUAAAGAAUACAUGGACUCCACGGUUCCAGCCAUACUUGGACCAAUCACAAUGGCCGGAGUAUCAUGGAGUUCAACUAUGGCCGGACCCG